GACGAACGCUGGCGGCGUGCUUAACACAUGCAAGUCGAACGGAAAGGCCCUGCUUUUGUGGUGUGCUCGAGUGGCGAACGGGUGAGUAACACGUGAGUAACCUGCCCUUGACUUUGGGAUAACUUCAGGAAACGGGGGCUAAUACCGGAUAGGAGCUCCUGCUGCAUGGUGGGGGUGGGAAAGUUUCGGCGGUUGGGGAUGGACUCGCGGCUUAUCAGCUUGUUGGUGGGGUAGUGGCUUACCAAGGCUUUGACGGGUAGCCGGCCUGAGAGGGUGACCGGCCACAUUGGGACUGAGAUACGGCCCAGACUCCUACGGGAGGCAGCAGUGGGGAAUAUUGCACAAUGGGCGGAAGCCUGAUGCAGCAACGCCGCGUGCGGGAUGACGGCCUUCGGGUUGUAAACCGCUUUCGCCUGUGACGAAGCGUGAGUGACGGUAAUGGGUAAAGAAGCACCGGCUAACUACGUG
RNAcentral lists this ribosomal RNA (468 nucleotides) under uncultured bacterium. RNAcentral describes it as "partial 16S ribosomal RNA". It matches the Rfam family "Bacterial small subunit ribosomal RNA", at positions 28 to 507 of the family's 1533-position model. The record is from RNAcentral.